This 314-nucleotide ribosomal RNA is filed under the name bacterium A03-8. RNAcentral's name for it is "bacterial SSU rRNA". It matches the Rfam family "Bacterial small subunit ribosomal RNA", at positions 136 to 482 of the family's 1533-position model. The record is from RNAcentral.
GUUCGGAACAACUCAGGGAAAACUUGAGCUAAUACCGGAUGAUCCCUUAUGGGGAAAGAUUUAUCGCCGAAGGAGCGGCCCGGGUUAGAUUAACUGGUUGGUGAGGUAAAGGAUCACCAAGGCUACGAUCUAUAGCUGGUCUGAGAGGAUGAUCAGCCACUCUGGGACUGAGACACGGCCCAGACUCCUACGGGAGGCAGCAGUGGGACAAUCUUGCGCAAUGGGCGAAAGCCUGACUCAGCCAUGCCGCGUGAAUGAUGAACGUCUUAGGAUUGUAAAAUUCUUUUACCAUGGACGAUAAUGACGGUUCCUGG